This 164-nucleotide ribosomal RNA is filed under the name uncultured bacterium. Its description in RNAcentral is "partial 16S ribosomal RNA". It matches the Rfam family "Bacterial small subunit ribosomal RNA", at positions 338 to 494 of the family's 1533-position model. The record is from RNAcentral.
CCUACGGGAGGCAGCAGUGGGGAAUAUUGGACAAUGGGCGCAAGCCUGAUCCAGCCAUACCGCGUGGGUGAAGAAGGCCUUCGGGUUGUAAAGCCCUUUUGUUGGGAAAGAAAUCCAGCCGGCUAAUACCUGGUUGGGAUGAACGUACCCAAAGAAUAAGCACC